This 253-nucleotide ribosomal RNA is filed under the name uncultured bacterium. Its description in RNAcentral is "partial 16S ribosomal RNA". It matches the Rfam family "Bacterial small subunit ribosomal RNA", at positions 524 to 776 of the family's 1533-position model. The record is from RNAcentral.
UACGUAAGGCGCAAGCGUUGUCCGGAAUUAUUGGGCGUAAAGAGCUCGUAGGCGGUUUGUCGCGUCUGCUGUGAAAACUCGAGGCUCAACCUCGGGCUUGCAGUGGGUACGGGCAGACUAGAGUGCGGUAGGGGAGACUGGAAUUCCUGGUGUAGCGGUGGAAUGCGCAGAUAUCAAGAGGAACACCUGCGGCGAAGGCGGGUUGCUGGGCCGACACUGACGCUGAAGCGCGAAAGCUAGGGGAGCGAACGGG